Molecule: transfer RNA, 69 nt
Filed under: Haemaphysalis bancrofti
Lineage: Eukaryota; Metazoa; Arthropoda; Arachnida; Ixodida; Ixodidae
Also listed under: 1 other name
Description: tRNA-Lys
Source: RNAcentral
UCAUUGAAUGGCUGAAAAUUUAAGCAAUGGUCUCUUAAACCAAUUUAUAGUAUUUAUACUUUCAAUGAA